AAGUCGUAACAAGGUUUCCGUAGGUGAACCUGCGGAAGGAUCAUUAAUGAAUUGUCAAGGGGGGGGGUUGUUGCUGGCCUUUCAUCUGAUAAGCAUGUGCACGCCCCCUUUUUACAACCAUCCACACCUGUGCACCCUCUGUAGUUCCAAAGUGGGAGAGCCCAUAAGGCUUUCUCAACCUGGCACUAUGUCUCUUUACAAACGCUUUAUGUAUAGAGUGUCGGCUCAGCGUAUAUAAACGCAGAAAUAUAAAACAACUUUCAGCAACGGAUCUCUUGGCUCUC
RNAcentral lists this unclassified non-coding RNA (284 nucleotides) under fungal sp. RNAcentral describes it as "partial internal transcribed spacer region". The stretch from base 1 to 46 matches the Rfam family "Eukaryotic small subunit ribosomal RNA", at positions 1786 to 1831 of the family's 1831-position model. The record is from RNAcentral. Lineage: Eukaryota; Fungi.